This 504-nucleotide ribosomal RNA is filed under the name uncultured Glomeromycotina. Its description in RNAcentral is "partial small subunit ribosomal RNA". It matches the Rfam family "Eukaryotic small subunit ribosomal RNA", at positions 591 to 1092 of the family's 1831-position model. Lineage: Eukaryota; Fungi; Glomeromycota. The record is from RNAcentral.
CCAAUAGCGUAUAUUAGUGUUGUUGCGGUUAAAAAGCUCGUAGUUGAAUUUCGGGAUUGGGAUAUAUCGGUCGUGCCUUUAGGGGCAUGAAUCGGUGUGUGGCCAAUUCUCUCACCUUCUGGUGAAUUGGGAUGCUCUUGGGUGUUUCAAUGAACUAGGACUUUUACUUUGAAAAAAUUAGAGUGUUUAAAGCAGGCAUUUUUGCUUGAAUACAUUAGCAUGGAAUAAUAAAAUAGGACGAUGGUUCUAUUUUGUUGGUUUUAGGACCACGUAAUGAUUAAUAGGGAUAGUUGGGGGCAUUAGUAUUCAAUUGUCAGAGGUGAAAUUCUUGGAUUUAUUGAGGACUAACUACUGCGAAAGCAUUUGCCAAGGAUGUUUUCAUUAAUCAAGAACGAAAGUUAGGGGAUCAAAGACGAUUUAUGUACGUCGUAGUCUUAACCAUAAACUAUGCCGACUAGGAAUCAGACAAAGUUAAUUUUUUAACGACUUGUUUGGUACCUUACG